Molecule: ribosomal RNA, 395 nt
Filed under: uncultured candidate division WWE3 bacterium
Lineage: Bacteria; candidate division WWE3
Description: bacterial SSU rRNA
Rfam family: Bacterial small subunit ribosomal RNA
Source: RNAcentral
AUCGGGAAUUUUGCGCAAUGGACGAAAGUCUGACGCAGCAACACCGCGUGAGGGAUGACGGCCUUCGGGUUGUAAACCUCGUUAUAAGCACCGGCUAACUACGUGCCAGCAGCAGCGGUCAUACGUAGGGUGCAAGCAUUACCCGGUAUUACUGGGCGUAAAGAGUUCUGUAGGCGGCUAUGUAAGUCAGGGGUUAAAUCCUUCGGCCUAACCGAAGAACUGCUCUUGAUACUAUAUGGCUAGAGAUAGUUAGGGGGCUGCGGAACGCAUGGUGGAGCGGUGAAAUGCGUUGAUAUCAUGCGGAACACCAAGGGGGAAGCCAGCAGCCUGGGACUUAUCUGACGCUGAGAGACGAAAGCGUGGGGAGCGAAACGGAUUAGAAACCCUGGUAGUCC